GACGAACCGUGCGAACGUUGUUCGGAUUCACUGGGCUUAAAGGGCGCGUAGGCGGGCGGUCAAGUCAGGGGUGAAAUCUUUCGGCCUAACCGGAAAAGGGCCUCUGAUACUGGCCGUCUCGAGGGAGGUAGGGGCAUGCGGAACUUCCGGUGGAGCGGUGAAAUGCGUAGAUAUCGGAAGGAACGCCGGUGGCGAAAGCGGCGUGCUGGACCUCUUCUGACGCUGAGGCGCGAAAGCGUGGGGAGCAAACAGG
This 253-nucleotide ribosomal RNA is filed under the name uncultured bacterium. Its description in RNAcentral is "partial 16S ribosomal RNA". It matches the Rfam family "Bacterial small subunit ribosomal RNA", at positions 524 to 776 of the family's 1533-position model. The record is from RNAcentral.